UACAGAGGAGCCAAGCGUUGUCCGGAUUGACUGGGCGUAAAGCGCACGCAGGCGGUUGCGCGCGUGGGGAUGUGAAAUCUGGCCCGCUUAACGGCCAGGCGCCAUCCCAUACGGCGCGAGCUGGAGUGAUGCAGAGGUCGAUGGAAUUGCCGGUGUAGUGGUGAAAUGCGUAGAGAUCGGCAGGAACACCCAGGGGGAAACCAGUCGACUGGGCAUCACCUGACGCUGGAGGUGACGAGAGCGUGGGGGAGCGAACCGG
This 259-nucleotide ribosomal RNA is filed under the name uncultured bacterium. Its description in RNAcentral is "partial 16S ribosomal RNA". It matches the Rfam family "Bacterial small subunit ribosomal RNA", at positions 524 to 776 of the family's 1533-position model. The record is from RNAcentral.